Salvelinus fontinalis (brook trout) is the source of this 697-nucleotide long non-coding RNA. RefSeq lists it as uncharacterized. The transcript is spliced from 3 exons. NCBI's taxonomy places the organism in Eukaryota, Metazoa, Chordata, Actinopteri, Salmoniformes, Salmonidae. The record is from RefSeq and is a predicted model, not a curated record.
CUCUAACUUGCUCUAUAGCCUCUUCGGUGGGCAGAUCUAGCAGACUGCAGAUGAGAGCUUAGUUAUUGUGUGUCUAUGAUGAUACUUUAAUCUGUUGGUCUACUAUACACAUAGCUCACGUGGAGUACAUCAGUUUAAGCAACUUUCAGUUUUGAGUGCUUGUGUUUGGAAAUGGUUUGGCGCCGUGGAUCUAAAGUUCUGUCCCUGCUGUUGACAGUGUCUCUCUGUCUCUGUGUGUCACCUUCUCUAGGCACAGGUGCCGUAGAGUUGAAGUACACCAAGACUCCUAUGGUUGGGACUGAGGGCAUGCACUUGAGGCUCAUCUGUAAGGCAGAGUAUGACACAAAACAAUGUGGUCGUAUUGAUGCCUUUUGGUGUCAUCACACAUUGGACGAGUGUCCCAAGCUCAUUGACCACGGCAAGUACCUCACUGUUGUCAACGAGACGUUUAUGGAGGACCACAGUGUCAGACAUAGACACAUUGUAACAGACUUCAUAAAACUGACCCCUGCUGACCGAGGAGUCUAUCAGUGCAAUGCAGUAUGUGAAAUGGGAGGCCAUACUGCCAUGGGACACUUCAUAAAUAUCACAGUCAAAGCAGCUACCAUAGUUGAUCAAAGAAAGGCAAACAACGGUGGACUGAACUGGGCAUACAGCACUGGAACAAUACCCUUCUCCUAAUACUGGAGUUACUUGA